CAAACGGCUCUUUUAGGAGCCACCACAGUUUUCAAAAGUGAUGAUC
Nematostella vectensis (starlet sea anemone) is the source of this 46-nucleotide non-coding RNA. NCBI's taxonomy places the organism in Eukaryota, Metazoa, Cnidaria, Anthozoa, Actiniaria, Edwardsiidae. The record is from Rfam.